This 17401-nucleotide long non-coding RNA is filed under the name Ananas comosus (pineapple). RNAcentral describes it as "long non-coding RNA (ACOM_LNC013997)". The stretch from base 1165 to 1261 matches the Rfam family "Small nucleolar RNA R38". The record is from RNAcentral. Lineage: Eukaryota; Viridiplantae; Streptophyta; Magnoliopsida; Poales; Bromeliaceae.
GUAUUACUGGCUUUCAGUAAUUCAAGAUACACGUCCCCCCUCUCAUUAAUAUUUUUGGUGUAAUUCUGUACCAUUUUUAAUACUACAUUACCGACCCGAUUACAUACCGGAUGAACCAAACACGGUAAUCCUGACAGGAUUGCUCGUAAUCCUGUCAGAAUAACCUGAACCAAAUGCACUCUUAUGAGUAUAAAGCCCAUGAGUUGUUUUCAAUGAUGGAGCUUCUGAAUCAAUGAUUCACUCCGUUAAAUAUAAUCUAGAGUAUUUGAAAGUUCUAAAAAAUAAAUUUUGUAAUUUUUUGAAAUUAUAAUAAAGUCUAUCAAGCAGGUAAAAAAUGAACAAUUAAAAUCGAACGGCGUUCUAAAAAUAGAUGAUCAGAUCCUUCAAUUUCAUAUUAGAGUUAUUAAUCUUUAUCUAGAUAGUGAUUAAUCAAAAAUUCAAUCGAUUUCGAUUCUUUUACACUGUUAAACUAGCAAGUAUCUCAUAUUGGCUUUUAAAAUUAUUAAUUUUGAGAUUUUUUAAUCGUAAGGUAAAUAAUGUUAAAAAAAUAUAAAAUUUGAUUUCUACAAGUUUUAAAUACUCUAGAAAAUAUUUAACGGCAUGGAUUAUCGUUUCGAAAAUUUUAUUAUUGAAAACAAGAAUGUGAUAGUAAGACUAAAAAUAUCGGGUGCCAAAAAACAAAAAAUCACAGCCGUCCGCUACGGCUCACUCUCAUCAGAGAAUCAAAACCGUUCAUAACCCUCGCCUCACCAGGAAAAAAGAAACCCUAAUUCCACUCCGCCUCCACGCUCUCCCCCUUAUAUAAACCCUAAACUCCACGUCGAUUCACAGGCCCUCAGUUCCCUUAUUAAUGCUUCGCACAGGGUAAUGUAACUCUUUCUAGGGUUUUUCUUUUCCUUCUUUGUAUUAUUAUUAUUUUUUUAUUUUUAUAUAUAUCUCUCGUUCGGGGUUCUAAAUGAUGUGGAUUUAUCAAAAGGGAACAUCCCAAAAACCAAAAAAAUAAAAAAUUGGGGUGUGAUGAUAUUCCCCUUUAAUUGAAUAGGAAGAUCUGAUAGAUCCCCUUAUUAUCCCAUCUUCUUGUUUUCAGGUUUGUAGCUUUUGUUGUUGGUUUUUUUUAAAAAAAAUAUAUAUAUUUGGGUUUUUUUUUUUUUGAAUUUAUAGCAGCAGUGUGAAUGAUGAGAACAUGUAAAAUAUACAGUUAUCCCUGUCUGAUAAAUUCACAUGAAUGGGUGCUGAGAAAAAUACUCAAUCUGACACUUCUCUGCUGUUUAAUUUUUUUAUAUAAACUAAUUUGUUUAUGCUCUGUUGAUUAUGGUGAUUCUUCAAAUAUAAUUAAAAUUUUAUAUUAGUUUUUUUAAGUUUUUUAGAACAUUUUUAUGAAUUUUUUUUUAUAAUAAAUUGCCGAUGAUGACAUUGCGAGUGGCUGAACAGCAGGUUUAUUUUAUCUGCUGCAUCUUGUUGAAACAAAAUGCAAGAACUAGGACGGUCUGAGGCAUUGAUCUCAUUUUUUUUGUUAUAAUAAUAAUAAUAAUAAACAUGAAGUGUUAUUGGAACUUAUUAAGUUCCAAAAAUUGAGGUUUUAGGCUUCGUUUUAGAUGGGAACUUAUUACUUACAUUGUAAUUGCUCUGUUUUUUUAUAUUAAUUCUGUGGUUUCAUUGAACAAAACAGAGAAGCAUGUUUUUAUAUAGGGAUAAUAUCUUAAUAUUUUCUUGAACAUCAUAAAAACUAGGGGCAAUUUCAUCACUAGCCCUCUUAAACAUGUAAAUAUCACAAAUACUCCUAUAAAAUUAAAAAUAUCAUAUAUACCUCUUCAAAGGUAGAAAAAUAUCACAAUUACCUUUUAUUCUAACUGACGGUAGAGUAAAGUUAUAAAAUGACUAAUUUACCCCUUAAAAGUUGUUUGGGUUAUUCUUUUGAUAACAAAUAAUAGAGGAGUAAUUUCAUAAAUACCCUUCUAAUUUCUAACACUAAUUAUUGGUGGAUAAAAUAAGUGGAAACCCCUCACCUAUAGGUCAUUUUGAAAUAUACCCCCUUAACUUCAAUUUUUUAACAUUUAGAGAGCCCUUUAACUUUUAGUUUUUUUUUGUUUUUGCGUUUUACUUAGUUAAAAGUUUUUCAAUUGAGAUCACUCAUACAUGAAUUUGAUAAAAUUUUUAACUUAGUUGGAAAAAAAAAAUAUUCAAUUGCAAAAGUAAAGAAUCACUACAGUUGAGAGGAUGUAUAUAUAUAGAGAGAGAGAGUCAGGCUACUAUACUCUUAUGAGUGUGAUCGCCUUCUUACUCAUAAGUCGUUUUUAAUAAUAAAGCUUCCGAAUCGACGAUCCAUAACGUUAAAUAUUAUCUAGAAUAUUUAAAAACUUCAAAAAAUCAAAUUUUAUAAUUUUUUUAUAUCAUUACGAUCAAAAAAUCUCAAAAUUGACAAUUUUUAAUGGUCAGUAUGGGAUACUUGCUAGUUUAAUGGUGAAAAAAAAUCGGAAUCAAUUGAAUUUUUAAUAGAAAAUUUUAUUUACUAUCUAGAUAAAGAUCAAUAUAGAGAUUUUGACAGCUCAUUUUAUGCCCACUUGAUGGACGUUAUUAUGAUUUCAAAAAAUCACAAAAUUUAUUUUUUAAAAAUUGCAAACACUCUAGAUCAUAUUUAACAUAGUAGAUCGUCGAUUCGGAAGCUCCAUUAUCGAAAAAACUUAUGAGUACAUAGGGCUCUAUACUUAUAAAAGUAUUGUAGCCCUACUUUUAUAUAUAUAUAUAUAUAUAUAUAUAUAUAAUUUAAAGUUAAGAUCAUGUUGAAGUGGACUAAUAGGUGAGAGGGUCUUCAUACAAUGUUACUUUUUUUGUUGACAAUAAAUGUUCAAUUAGAAAACUGUUGCUUGAGCAGGUCAUAUGAAAAAUACUCUAAUAUCAAGAAUUUUGAUAUCAAAAUAUUUUUAAUUUGACUUAUGUGAGUUAUUUAAAUAAAAUUCAAAAAAAAAUGUUGAAAUAAUUAAUGUUAAAUACUACAAUGGAUAAUUGCAUUACAACUAUUAUAUAAUUUAAAAGCGAAAAUCAUAACAAUAUUUAAUUAUUACACUUAAUAGAUUGUAGAUUUUUAAUUGUAAAAUUUUAAAGAGAAUGUUGAAUUAUUAUGUGAUUGAAAGGUUAAGAAUUAAUCAUAUAAUUAAUCUUAAAUUAUUACACUUAGUUAAAUUAGUAAUAAGGGUAAAAUUGGUAUUUAAAGAAUUUUAGAUGACUUUUUUAACGGAAUGUUAGUCUUAAUGGUAUUUGUGAAUAUUUUUGCUUUUUAGAGGGGUAUUCUUGAUAUUUUCUAAUUUAGAGGGGUAUUUAUGAAAUUACUGUCUCCUAGAGGGGUAUUGAUGAAAUUAUCCCUAAAAACUAUUGUCUGAUAUAUUUUUGGUAGAUCAAAAUGCUUUUGUUGAGUUUUAAAAAUUUGUUCAAAUAUUUUCCUAACUCUAGAGUUUACUAAUGAGAUUUGGAUUUUAGAAGGGUAUUUUGAAAAUAUUGUGAUAAAUUUAAAAUUUUUGAAUAGUAAUGAGGGGUAUAUAAGCAAAAUUAAAUUGCUUCAAAGGUGGGGUUUUGCAUUACUCAUUAAACUGGACUUAACAGUUGAUUUAUGCCAAUAUCACUCCAAACACCCAGUAAGUAUGAAAACACAACAACAUUUUCAAACAUGCAUGCAUGGAGCCCUUAGAUAUCUCUCGAUACAACAUAACUCAAGUGUAGUAUUUGAGGUUUUUUUUUUGGCUAAAUUACAGAAAAUCUUUCUGUAAUAACCCGCUUUUUAACUUUCCCCUCCUGACAUUUAAAAACCUACACUUUAUUCCCCUGUAAAAUAAAAAUUGUUCACAGGGGGGUUACGGUGUGUAAAAUGACCAUUUUGCUCCUCGCCAUUGUCGUCUUCUUCCCCAUCUUCCUCAGCCGCCCAUUCGUUCGGCCGCGAUUCUCACCUCAAUCAGUCGCGAUUUCUCUCCAUUUCCUUCUCCACCUGCUCUCCUUCUUCUCCUGCACCCUCGCCGCCCUCGGGAGAUGGCGGAAGGGUAUUUUCGGCACCCUGACGGAAUCCUAACGGUAGGGGGUAAAGUGCACAUUUUUUAUUUUACAGGGGGGCAAAGUGUAGGUUUUUAAAUCUCAGGGAGGGAAAGUGAAAAAGCGCGUUAUUUUAAGGGGGUUUUCUGUAAUUUAGCCUUUUUUUUUGUGUAGUUUUUUUUUUUCCCUUUUUCAUUUUUAUGUAACUUAUAGUCAGAAAGUUAAAUUCACUCAAUUUUUUUUUAUUUGUUUUCGAGUAAUUUGAUACUAAUAUAAUUAGUCAAAAAAUCUCGUUCCCUUUUAUAUAUAUUUGUUAACCUCUCCAUAAAUCCAACCUAUUAAAUAACUAAAUUUUCUGUUAUUGUUUUAGAGUUAAUCAUGAUCCAUUGUAAAGGAAGUGGAGCUUAAGUUUUAAUAUUUAAUCAUAUUUUUUAGAGAGAGCUGUAUGUGGUGGAAUUUGAGUUUAGUACUCUAAAAAAAAAAAAAAAAAUCAAGAGAGUGUGAGCUGAAAUCUUGUGUAACUUAAGUUAUAUCAUGUUUCUAAUUUAUGCCAAAAUAAUCAAUAAAACUGAUGGAAUUUGAAUUCCACUCCACUUACGUGCAAAAAUGCAGCAACAUGUUGCCAACAUGUGUACAUGAAAGAAGCUCCAAAAUUAGGGGAGGGGUACAAUUCAGUGUUUAGGUACAUAAUUUGAAGUUCGAUCAUUAAAUUAUAUAAUUUGAAAAUUAUUGUUGGAUUUUUUUCCCAAGCAGAGCAUCAUUCAUGUGUUACAGCAAACCAAUCACAGAGAAAUCUAUUUUCAUUUUAGAAGAUUGCUGUAAAGGUAUAUUAAUUGAUCGGUAUUCAGGAUACAAAAUAGAGAGAAUAGGAGGAGGAAAAUAAAUUGUUUACAGAACGCAGGUAGUAGAGAAGAGUGUCCUCAAAGAUUGAGAAACAUGCUAAUGUGGAUGUACGACUUCAUUAUUUUUUUUUAAGAGGUAGGUAGCACGCUAUCCGCUUCAUUUAUUUCAUUUAAAAAUAAAUUUAGCUAGAAAUGUGAAUCAACUAGGAUUCGAACUUGGGCCUCGGGUACCAAUCAUCAAGCCCUUUGCCACUUGCUCUAGGGACGACCGGUAUGUACGACUUUAUUAACCUCGAGUGGGAUCCGAUGAAAGUACGACUAACUGAUUCGAAUGUGGAGUAAGGAGACUUGCGGUCUAGAAGCAUAUCAACCAACCAACAUGAGAACUACUACCACGAACAACUCCAGAGCACCGAAAGAACUGCGAGUUGCGCGGAAAGACCAGCAGGACGUCACGGAGUUUCGAUCAGAGUAAGAACGCUAUAAUGAGUGGUACAGAAAAAAUAGACAUACUGAGCUCAUCUUAGCUCACCGAUUCUGACGACAAAAUGUAAAUGUAAUAGUGAUAAGAAAUAAAGGAUGACAAUUACGAAAUAAAAAUGAGAGCGGAGAUCCCAGCUCGCCAGGGAAGGGGUGUGAGGAACAAAUAGUCAAUUUGAUAAGAACUUAUUAAGAUAAAAAAAAAAAACAUAAUCACAGAGAAAUCUAUAGGAAGUCACAGUAUUAACCAUUUGGUUAGAGGAAAUUAUCAAUGAAGCAUAAAUGGAUACAGUUGAAAAUACAAACAUUUUAUAUGCAUUUUAUUUGAUUGGAGAAAGUAGGAAAUACUAUAUGUAUAAAAAAUCUAUUUGAUAAUAUACAGUUAAGAACUAAUUUUAUAAAUCUGGUCAAUUUAUAUAUCGGAGGGUGAAAUUAUCCAAAUACAGAAGAACAAACUAUUUCCUAUUAAAAUGGCGAUUACAGAGAUAAGCUUACUCUUUUUAAAAUACUAGUGUAGAAACCCGCGCGUUGCGGCGGGUAGGGAGCAUUGCAAAUAGUCAAUAUAUUUUCAUUCUACUUUCUUCAUUUCAACAUUUUUUGCAUCGUUUCAAUUGUUUUGGCAUAAGUCUGAAAGUAAGUUAGAAAAAUAGAAAAGAUCUAAAAAUAUUUUAGUAAAUAAUUUACAAAUUAAAAUUACUUUUCUAUAUUGUUUGGAUUUGCUCUAUGAUGCAUCGCCAAAUUAUUUAAAAGUAAAGAAAAAGUCAUAUAGAUCAGGACACAAACAUUUCAUAUGAACAAAAAAAAUAUUUCGCCUGAGAAAUACACAUACUUGACCAAGUUUGAUUUCUCUCCUCUUUGAAUUGCAAAGAAUAUGAAUGUCACAUAUAACAAUGCAGUUAUUAUCUUGAUUGAUCAAAGCUGAAAAAAAAUAAAAGAACUAUAUGCGAGCAUCCAUAUAAUUGUGCAAUAUAUAAUUAUGUAGCAAAGAAAUAAUAGGGCAAAGAAAUAACAUAUAGCAAUCAUAAAAAUACAAUAUAAAGAGUCACAUCUGAGAUAUGCAAAAAAAAAUUAUGCCAAAAAGUGGCUCAUGUGCAGAUAGUAUUUAAAAUUGAAAUACAAAAAGGCAUAGGAGUAAAAAUACUCAUGAAUGGUUCAGAAAGGCAACAUAGCUAGCUGCUGAGUUCUAUAAAAUCGGAAUUGCUAUUUUAACUCAUAGUAGGUUCUGAUAACAGAAAGCAUAUAUUGGGCCUAACCAAAAGAAAAAAAUGUUUAAGAAGAAAUCUCAAGUACCUCUCAGGAAUGUAUUCGGAACCAUUAAAUCUCAAUCUUUUAGAAUCAUUUUUAAACUGUACAAUGAUCAAAAUCCUAGAUAAGAAGAGUGCGGUCGUAUAGGAGCUUGAUGUGAUGGGGAAAGGCGGUCGUAUAGGAGCUUGAUGUGAUGGGGAAAGGCGGGCUGGCGCACUACGAAGGAGCGGAAGAAGGGCGACGCAAGUAGAGAAAGCUAUGUUCAACAUACGUUCUCAAUUAAUAAAUCAAAAUGCUCAUCAUCUAUGGUUGUCCCUAACUAUUUUUUUCUCCCUUCAGGCCAAAUCUUCCUAAAUAUGAACCUACUAAAACUACAUACCAUUCCCAAUUCUUACAGAAACACUACACAUACAGAUCUACUAACCAGAUCAACUAACCAACAAAGCAUAAAAAAUAUCUCAUAGAUCUAUAUCAAAUAUCAUGAUGAGCUCAAUAAUCACUAAAUUACUCAUCGGCGGAUUCAAAUUCCUUGAGAAUAAGCAGAAUUGUCUCUAAAGACAACCCUAAUUGAGAAGGGCACAAUCAGUUUACAAAGUCACAUGAUUGCUAGUACUAUCAGUGCAAAAUAUGGCGUCAAACUGGACAGUACAAAAUAAUUUUAAGUAUAAAUAUUGAAAUAUAUUAUUAUGCAUGAAACACGCAAUUCCUAAACGAUAUCAAUCAGUUCUGAGUAGUUCACCCUAUAGGAAAAGAAGAAUAUGUAUAAGAAAUCAUAAGAAUCAAUCCAGAAGAAAAGAAAAAUACAAAUUCUUGAGAUACUUAAGCAUAGCAAACACAACAGAAAGGUUCUAAAGUUCCAGCACUCCAACUGCUUUUUAAAACCUUAAGCCUAUCGCCGAUCCCAGUGCAAAUUUACAAAAGCAUUAAUUGAUGCAAAAAAGAAUUUCUGAUAGUCCAAGUCAAUAGCGAAAUCGUUGUACAACCUCACCUACUUAGUUACAGCACUGAUGUACUCAUAUUUACUUAUCCAUUAAGUAGUCCAUGUUCUAUUUAAAAAAAAUAUAUCAUUUCAAGAUAUCAAUUUUUAAGCCAAUCCAAAACCUCCACAUUUCAAGAUGUUAGUUUUAAGCAGCGCAGCCUCAUUUAUAUCGAAUUUUUCAAAUUAAAACAUAUACAAAUGCAUUAAAAAGGACUCUUGAGAACCACUAAUUAGGCAAUCACCACGGUUUUUUAAGCAUCAUUCCUAAAACCCACAUGAACUGCAACCAUGGUGAUCACAUAAACCCCAAAACCUAAAACCGUGCCACAUUAAUUAAGGAAUCAAAUAAAAAAAGGAAAGAAAAUACAUUGCCUCAUGAAUUGGAACCCCAAAUUAGAAAAGGAUAUAUAUCGGCAAUGUAUGGCGCAAAUCGUUUCCGAUCUCACACCUGCAAACAAAAAUAAUAAUAAUAAAAAGACUUAAAUUCAACUAAAAGAGAAUUAGGGAUCAAGAAACAAAGCAUAAAUUGAUACAAAGCACAAAUUCAAGAAACAAAGCAUAAAUUGAUACAAAAAUUAAUGAAGAGAUCACACAUGAUAGGGUUUUUAGGGCAAAGACUGACACGUGAGGAGGAUUAAAAACUCGCAAAUCUUCGACAUGGAGGCCGAGAUCGAGAGAGAAGAGUUGGGGGCUAGAGUUAGAGUUCGACUCACCCGACGUUGGCGUCGUUGUCAGCGUGGUGGAGGAGGCGGAGGCGGAGGCUCAGGCGGAGGAGAGGUGCUGGGCCGUCGCCUCUGUCCGCGGCGGGGAGGAGAGGUGCUGGGUCUGGGCCUUGACGCGGAUGUGGUGAUCGGAGAUGUUGAGGAUGAGGGGAGAGGGAAAAAAUGUUGUAACUGAAGGGGAAGAAGAAAUAACGUAUAGGAAGGAGAGGAAGUGCCAUUGCCGUUUGAGAAACCAAAAUGGGGAGAGAGCGAGACGGUUUGGUUCGGUUCGGAGGUUACGUAGGAAGCGGUUCGGUUCAAAAUAUGGGAAGUGAGAGAAGAGAGAAGCGGUUCGAUUUAGAGAGGCAGUAGAGAGACGGUUCAACUUAAAAGAGACGGUUCGGUUCAAAAGAGAGGUUGAUGAGGGUAAAGGAGAAAUUGGGUUUAGCUUAAAAGAGAUGGUUCGGUUCAAAAAAGAGGUUGAGACGAUUCGGUUCAAAAGAAAGGUUGAUGGGGGUGAAGGAGAAAUUGCCACGUGGCAAAAGUAUUGGAGAUUCAUAUAGUUUUAUAGAUUCUCUUCGAAUGCAAUAGUUGAGCCAUUUCGGGCACUUCCAACUACAGUAAUUAGAUUCAAAUACAUCAAACUGUAGUUGCAAAUAUACUACAAUAAUAACUAUAUGCAAAUUCAAAUCCGUUUGAUUUGAUAGACAUACAAUUAAAAUACUGUAGUUAAAACUGCAUGAAAAGACUUAAUUGCACCAAGCAAGUGAAAUAAUAACACCUCAAUUGGCUGCACUUGGAACUGAAUGAAAAGAGCUUAACUGCAGUAAUUAAAACAACAUUUAAAUUGGCUACCGUUCCGACUGCACCAAUUGAAAAUAGUAACUAUAAAUAAAAAAUAAGCUUAUCUCUCUAAUAACCUUCUAAAUAUUUUUUUUUUUUUCAGCAUAAGAGAUAAUCUGGCUACUAUAUAAACUUUAUAAAUACCAUUCUCAACUAUAUAUAACAAAACAAAUUAUUUAUAACUAUAAUAUUUUCUACUACAUUCUCUCCGAAAAAAAAAAAAAAAAUCUACUACAUCUAAUAUAAUAAAAUAUAUAUAAUUAUAAUUACUGCAUGCAUUUCUAAUUACACACUAUUUACAUUCAAUGAAACGGCCCCCUAAAUGUUACCAAACAAUCUCUAAUAAGUAAAUAACUAAACAUGGCACCUCUGAUUAUAACCAAUCGCAUCUCAGUGACUGGUCUACUCCAUGGAAUCCUAGAACACCCACUUCCCAGACGGCAAAAUCAACUCAGUUAUUUCCUGAUGAUGCAGAAGUAUCAUUUGAGCCACUAAUUUUCAUCACUUGAAAUGUAAAAUAUGCACAACUUAGGGCAUAGAUGCUACCCAUUUUCCCAAAAAAUUAACCAGCACUACAAAGUUUACCUUUUCAGAGGUCACUGAGACACAACUUCUCUGAAAAGCUUUAACUAUUCAACAGGAGGAAAAAGAAAUUCAUAGUAGAAACUUUGCUCCCUCUUCUUCCUCACAUUCUGAAUAUAAACCUAAACCAAGAGCCGUAUCAUUUUAUAGUGAUAUACCGAUUCGUCCCAUGCUUAGCCCAGUGGUCUUUGAGGUCGAUUGGCAUAGAUAGAUCGUACCCCUCUGCCGCCAGCCGGCUGAUCAGCUUCUUGAACACACUGCCGCUCAUCUUGCGGCCGCCCACGCGGGCGUGCCUUUUGUUGGGCAUCACCGGCAGUGGGUACAUGGACAGCGUUGUGGUGCAGCAGGCCGACUGCCACCCGCCGUCCCCCCACUUGUAGCAGGGCUGAUACUUCCCCGUGCAGGAGCAAACGGGUACUGGCAUCGUCGACUCAUCAAACACUACCUGGUUCAGCCCCAGAUCCUGACCUUUCCACUCAUGGUGCUUCGCCCCCAGCCUCGCGACUGUCACCUGCUUGUUAUUGAAAUGCUCGCCUCCGACCUUUCUACUCUUCUUCUUCGACGGUUUCUUGGAUGGAGAAGCAGAAGCUUGAACUUUGGUGGGGUCGUUCCUCCCCCGCUUAGACUUGUGGGACGACUUUGCUGCAUCGCCAUCUGGAGCAGUCGACAUGGGGAGUGCUUCGUGGUCAUUGUAAUACCCAUCGGAAUAUUGAGGUUGCUGCUGGUAGUGGUGGUGCUUUGCUGCUCCACGGGAAGGAGGGAAGCAUUCGGGCCCACAAUUGUUGCCAUUCACGCCGUUCUCGCGAGCAUAUUGAAGGGCAGAGAGGGCAUUGUCGCGCUCGAUGAUGGCAGUGUUCCGCUCGGUGAUCGCAGCAUCGCGCUGGAGGAAUGCCAUGUCGCGCUCAGCCUGUGCAGCUUUCUUCUCUGCAAGAGCUAUGUUGCGUUCUCGAAUGGCCUCGUCCCGCUCGGCCACGAGAGCCAUGAUCUUUAUGUUUUCCUUCAGCUGAUUCUGAUUCGUCAUCCACUGUGUUACCAAUAAAAAAAGAGACCGCAGUUAGAAGUACAUUUUAAGGCAGAAGAAAUCUGGCUGGUGGUUCUGACUGUGUUGUUUAUCAGCCAAAAUUAUUCACAUGCAAGUCAGAAGGUUGGAUUAACAUUGUUAGUGAGCAUUUUUAAAAGAUUUUGCUUUUCAAAAGCCUUUAUGCAUGGGAGUCAAAACGGAAGAUUUGCUAGUAUACUUGAUCAUUUAUGUUGCCAGAGGUUAGGUUCUUUUCAAAUAUGAGGUUCUGUGAUACGUCAAAAUAUAAUAAAAGAAUAUGAAGCAAAAAAACAUUAUGGAUGUUAUUCAGAUAUUUCCAGUUGUAAUAGCAAAGGGAGAUAAAACAUGUUAGCAGUUAGCACCAAGUGCAGCGUCAAACAAGGAAGCUGCUAUGAACUAAAACUAGAUUCUAUUCAACGCUAUGUUUCCCAUUGUCACCUUAGAAAGGCAUGGCUACGGAGAAGUAACAAUGCAUCUAAACCACACAUCACCUUCUACAGUUCUAACUAAAGACAAGUACAAUAAAUGUCAAAUAAAAACAAAUGGCCACCUAUGCUGGACCCAAUCGUUUGACUAGCCUUGAAACAACAAAAUUGUUAUUAUACUACCUACAGUUUAGCACUGCUCAGCAAUAAAGGUAAUAACUUUUUCUUAAUCUUGCAAUGAACAAUUCUGUAUAUCCAAAACAAUCAAACAAGUUACAAAGUAUAGCUGAAACCAUCCUAAAUUUAACCAACAAUGUUUUACUGCUGAGAUAUAUAGAUCCAUAAUUGUCAAUAUAAGAAGCUAAGUAGGAUUUAGCUAACUAGGAUUUAGCAGAAUGGAUGAAGUAAACAGUAUGUAAUUAGGGAUUACGUCAGAUUUCAACUUUGAUGAGCUAACUGGAAUAAGAUCUGGCUAUGAAGGGAAUAUAAAACUACAUGUUACAAAAAAUCUAAUCUGAUUACAUUAUCUAAGGCGUUUUUUAUUUUCUCGAGUAAAGCUAAGGUAUGUUGGAAGCAGAAACUAGUGGGCAGUUUAAGGAAGUAAAGAAAGCUAAGAACAAAAGGAAAAGAAAGGUUGGACAUCUUAACAGGUAGACUGAUAAUGAUUCAUUUAUAAUAUCAACCAAAAUUGAUGCUAUCAAUAAGAAGUACAAAGGAACACUUAAAGGAUAAACUAAAACAGGAUAGAGACUCAAUCAAAAAGGACAGAACACUUUGGUAUUCAUACUAGAACCUAGAAGCUCCUUGUUUUAUCUGACUAUACAAGAUAGAAUAACUAUACCAAAGAGAAGAAAAAGAGCAAAGAAGCCAGAUACACUCAAGUACUAGUGUUGUCAAUACCUGCGCAUGAGCUGUCUUAUAGUGAUCAGCCUUGUGCCUACUGCUCUCCCUUUGUCCAUUGUCAUCCAUUUUCAAACCUCCACAUACACUUCAGCUUAGUCAGAGUGCGAAACUUCAGAUGCCUACAAAAUUCUUCAAAAGCAUAUCACAAGUUAGAUGGCGGAAGACCACGUUUUGGGUUUGUGCAAAAUGAAUGAAAGAGAGAUGGAAACAAAUACUAUAAGAUUAUAACUAUAUGUAGAUACAACACUACAUAUUAUGCAAAAAACACUAACUACUUCAGACAGGAAAGCACUCAUGAAAAGUAGAUAAAAUUGUGAACAAGCAUUAAACAUGUUUAUAAGUGAUUGAUGUAUAAAAGUGACUAAUAAAUAUUAAAUUGCAGGAUAAUUCUUAGCAACAGAGCAUCUAAAGAAGACCAAUCAAAGUGUGUUCUGAUGAACCCGAAAAAAAAAAAGAAAAAGAAAAAAGAGAAAGCCAGGAUAUAAAAAUUUUCAGAUAUCUCAGCUAAAUAAACACACUGUAUCUUGGAUUUGAAUACUUUACAGAUAAAUCAUAACAACUGAUGUAACAGAACAAUCCUCACAAGUUAUUGUCCAAAUUUACUGUCACCGUAAGUUUCAAGUGACUGGCUCUCUAGAUCUCCGUGAGCCACAUAUAAUCACGUUCUAACAGGGAUAGAUAGCAAUGUACGCAUUACUCUUUGUUUACUUGGGAAUAAGUGGAAUUAGCAAAUAGGUGAGAAAGCCAUUGUACUUCACAGGGACCUUAGACUGAGUGAAGUAUAACCUGUAGGAACUGAAUACAUGUUGAACUACUCAAUGACCUGUGUAGUUCACCACUUCUCUAGCAAGCAAAUAACAUAAGGAUAAAGACCAUCUACUCAUAAUAUAGCGAAACCCACUCACCGUAGCUAGCAUUCGGUUGAUAUGCCAUUAAACACUUUAAUUGGUUAAAAAAAAAAAAGGAAAGCUCAACAUUUUUGCAUAUCAAUGACCACUAGAUCUUCAGUUCCGCAUAUUUGCAUUUUAGCUGCCGCGACAUGGCCUCUGAAAUUACUCGAAUAGUAGAAAUCCCCCUUUAAUCAAAGUCUCUUGACAUUUAUCGCCCAACACCAUCUACUGAAGUAGCCCACUGGACAAUUACAGUGAUCGGGACUCUGAAACACUAGAAAAGACUCUUCUGCUCGCAUCCAAAUUACUGAAUUAGCUGGUUAUAGAGAGAAAAUAUCAUCUUUGUACUAAUAUAGCAGCAAGAUCCCUUUUUGGCGUUCAACAAACCUAUCCACAACAUAAUCAGAUUACAUGAAAUGGAUGCAACAUCUUCAGGAAGUGCGCAACUCAUCGGAACUACACUCUCCACUUAGUAAUAAGCAGCAUUAGGUUAACACACACACACACACACAAAACCAUGAAGGAUUCACGAUAUCUAGCUCAAAAACGUCGCCCAAAAACCCAGAAAUUGAGAUUAAACUAGCUCUAGGAUCAAUAUCCUCAUCAAAACUACCUUUGAGAAGCUGCAACUAGAAGAGAUGGAGGAAUCGAAGAAGAUAACAAAGGAAGCAAACGAAUUUAGGGCACAAUUUAGCUAUUGGAGAAGAGAUUUGGGUAUUUUACCUCUGCGAAGCUUGAUGAUCGAAGAGGAGCGAAUUGGAUCUCCUCAAAACCCUAAUUCUCCUCCUCCUCUUCUUGUUCGCCCUACUCCAGCUUCGUGGAUCGUAGCACCAUUGUGUCGGAAAAUUUCCUUUUCUUUUUCUUCAUUCCACUUUUUUCUUAAUUCUCCUUUUAUUUAUUUUUCUCACACGCUUCUGAGCAGUGGGGCCCGCUCCCCUGGCUCAGGAUAAUAGCUGUUGAUUGAGAUUAAUUAACCGCUGAAAAGGAUGAUUUGUAGAUAAAGCAUUUUCGCGGGUAAAAAUGGAAAAGAGUUGAUUAGAAAUUUAGGUGGGAGGGAGCAAAUUUAAAAAAAAAAAAAAAAAUUUAAAUACUAACACUAUAGUUUCGCACACUUUUAUUUUAGUAUCUCGUGGUUUAACAAUAAAAUUUUUAAAUAUAUAUUUUAAAAAGUAAUAAAAAAAAAUAUUUACAUAAAAAUUUUCUAUACUUUAUCGUGACUAUAACAUUGAUUGCUAAAUUUAUACUAAAGUUUUGAUAGGCUAAAAUUUUUUAUUGAAUUGAAUCAUUCCUUCCACAUCAUUUCAAAAAAAUGAGUUAUUUGAAGGACGAUCGACGCCAUUCAAAUAUAACUUAUAUUAUUUAUACUUUUAAAUUUUAUAAUUUGCUAUAUUAUUUACCUAGUAUCAUGUGUGAUCGGUUAGUCUGAAACUUAUUUUAUAUUGGACAUUAGAAAUUGGUAAUUCUAAUAUCACUUGAAACUAUGUAAAUACUGUUGAAAAGUUCAAAAUUAGAUUUUUCCAUAGUUUAAGUUUAGGUGUAUUGAUUGUCAAUUUGAAUAACUUAUUGUCGAAAAAUAAUGAAAAAAAAUAAUUUUGUUUACUUUUUUUUUUAAAAAAAAACUUUGUUGUGUACAAUUAAAUCAAUAUUCUUGGAUAAUUCAAAAGAGUAAUAUGCAAGUGAAUGUUAAUUAAGAAAAGUUUCAUACAAAAUAUUAGGAAUAGUUUUUGAGUUUAAAAAGAGGUUAUGAAAAAGAAAUAUAUGGUUAUUAAUAUUGGAUAGAGCAAAAAUUAUUAUGGACAAAAUUUGAUCUGCAUGAAAGGUAUGGAAGAGAGAAAAUUUCAGUUUCAACUUUCAACUUUCAACUUCUAUUUUCAGCAAAAAUAAAAAAAAAAUAAAAAAUAGUUUUUUUUAAAUAUAAUAUAAAAGAUUUUAUUAUUGAAAACUAUUUUAAUGGAUGGAAGUACAUAAUUUUUCAAACCUCAAAAACUACUAUUAUGACUCUUUUGUAUGGAACCAAACACUACUAAAAAAAAGUUUAAAAAUAUACGCCAAAACUUAAGAUUAAAAUUUACAUAAAAAUAACUAUUUUUAAAAACUUUGUGGUAAAUUAUGUAUUUACUUAAAUUAGGAAUGUCAACAGAUUGGAUUUAAGGCGGAUUUUCAAAAAUCCAAAUCCGGACCCGACUCUAAAUCCAAAAUCCAAAAUCGAAUCCGAAUCCGUUGAAUUUUAAAAAUCCAAAUCUGAACCCGAUAAAAAAUUUAAAAUCUAUAUCUGUCAAAUUUUAAAAAUCCAUACCCAAAUUUUGACCCAAAAAUUCAAAAUUUGAACUCAAGCCCAAACCCAAAACUCUGAACCCAAAAUAAUCAUUUUUUUUGUAAUAUUUUAAAAUAUAUUACAUUAAAUUUAAAAUUUUAAAGUAUAAAUUUAAAUAUAGUAUCAAAUAUUUAUAUAAUAUAUACAUAUUAUAUAUAAUGUAAAAUAAAUACGGUUGCGAGUUGGAUUCGGGCGGGCGGGUUCGGAUCGCAUACAAUUAAAAUUCAUGCCCAAAUUCAAAUCUAUCAAAUUUUUAUUUUUAAUAUCUAUAUUUAAAAUUAUAUUUAUUUAGUAUUAAUAAAUUUACUCUUUUCGAAUUUGAAUCCGAAUAAAACUAUUGGUAUCCGUAUUCGUUAACCUCCUAACUAUGAAAAAUUCUAGAAUGCAACGGGUAUAUUAGUGACGUGGCGUAACAAAUCAAUCAAAUUAAUCCUUUUAAGAAUAUAUGUCCCAUCAUGAUUGUAAAAAAAUAUUUUUAUUAUACUUUUGUUUGAAAAGAAGGAAUGUGAUUAGUUUGUUAUUGAUGACGUGGUGCAAGUGUGACAGUGUAGAAUUCCUCCCUAACUAUCGUUCGUGGAGUAUCACUCAAAAAAAAACAAACAAACACACACACACACCGAACCUUAAUCAUACGGCAGAGGAGAUCCCUUAAAAUCAACGGUCAGGAUGAAUUAGUUAGAGCCCGAGCAACCGCACCCGUAUCCACGGUCUCUCCCGAUACGAACCAAUCACAAAUCCCCAAACCCCCUCCCACGGCUUCCUUCGUAAGCUUUAACAUCCACCGUCCAUCUCGACGGUCCAGGAGCCUCACAGCGCUCGAUCCGUGUGCCCCCCGCUGCGACCAAUCACAGCUCGUCGUCUCGCUAUAUAUACCGCCCCACUCCUCGAACUCCAUUUGCAUAUAUCGCAUCACCCCUACGCCUCGUUUCCUCGUUUGCGUUUCUCCACCGCGAUGCCCACCGCAGCAGCGAAGCAGAAGCAGAAGCCCACCGCGGCUUCUCACCCCCCGUACUUCCAGGUACGCAAAAUCCAUCUCGAUCUCGUUUUCACGAGCGUUUCUCUCUCUCAGAAUUUGAAUUUCUUGUGAAUGAUCGGCGUAACCUGUGGUUUGAUGAUGAAUCGAUCGUGUAGAUGAUCAAAGAAGCGAUCCUAGCGCUCCGCGACAGGACCGGAUCGAGCCCGCAAGCGAUCGCGAAGCACGUUGAGGAGAAGCACGAGGGGCAACUCCCCGCGAACUUCAGGAAGAUCCUCUCCAUCCAGUUGAGGAGCUUCGCCGCGAAGGGGAAGCUCGUGAAGGUGAAGGCCUCGUUCAAGCUAUCGGAAGAAGCGAAAAUGGAGAAAAGCGCUUCGGAGAAGCAGAAGCCGAAGGAAGCUUCUGCGGUGCGAAAGACGAAGAGUUUGGGGGCUGUGAAGUCGCCGAAGAAGGCGGUGAUUAAGACGAAGAGGAAGGCGGUGUCGCCGGCGAAGCCGAAGCAGCCGAAGUCGAUCAAGUCCCCUGCGGCGAAGAAGGUGAAGAAGAAGAAGGGUAACGCGUGAGUUUACGGGGUAGUUUGGUAGUUCGGAAUCUAGGGUUUGUAGGGAUUACAUAUGGGGUUAAGGGUUGUUUGUUUCGUUUUGUAUGUAAAUAUUUGUGCUGCAAAGGUGAUUAGCAAAUAUAUCUAUAUAUAUAUUUAUACAUAAAAAGCCUUCAAUGUUCGUGAGAAUUUCAUUGUGAUUCUUUUGGGACGGGUUUAUGUAUUUGGGCUUUCUCAUAUACAAUCAUCAUCGUAUGCAAAGAGCAAUCCUAUAUAAAGGAUUUGCUUAUUGCAAAGAGCAUUUUACAUAUACUUAGGGGAUGAAACAAUAUUGAAGGUGAAUGGUUAGUAAAUUUGUAUUAUUUUAAAUUUUUAAUUAUUAAAUUUAAAAUUUAAUAUUAAAUUUUAAUUUUUUAAUCUAAAUAUUUAUUAAACUUACAUUUAAAUUAUGAAAGAUUAUGUGAUGAACAAAAAGUUUGAUAUAUAAUAAUUAAAUAAAUAUUAAUAUAUGUGGUAUUAAGAUAAUCUUAAAAUAGUAAAAAUAAAAUAAAAUAAUAUUUAAUUAAAACAUAUUAUUAAAAAAAGGAAAGAAGAAUUUAAAAUAUCUUUUAUUUACUUAUUUUGUAG